GGCAUAUCACUCACAAACCGACGGCCAGACAGAAGUUGUAAAUAGGUGCUUGGAGAUAGCCCAAAGCCACCCACCAAAUAUGACUACCCAAGGAGGACUUCAGACUCAGCCAAGUGCCAUUAUUGAUCGACGGAUUAUGACUCGACGACGACGAUCUACUACUGAAUUGCUAAUACAGUGGGCAAACCUAAUAACAGAAGAUGCCACUUUGGAGAACUAUGAUGACUUGAAGAUCAAAUUCCCAAAAUUCAUGAAUCGUCAGCCUCGAGGACAAGGCUGAUUUGAAG
RNAcentral lists this long non-coding RNA (287 nucleotides) under Musa acuminata (dwarf banana). RNAcentral describes it as "long non-coding RNA (MACU_LNC011088)". The record is from RNAcentral. Lineage: Eukaryota; Viridiplantae; Streptophyta; Magnoliopsida; Zingiberales; Musaceae.